GGUUAAGCGACUAAGCGUACACGGUGGAUGCCCUGGCAGUCAGAGGCGAUGAAGGACGUGCUAAUCUGCGAUAAGCGUCGGUAAGGUGAUAUGAACCGUUAUAACCGGCGAUUUCCGAAUGGGGAAACCCAGUGUGAUUCGUCACACUAUCAUUAACUGAAUCCAUAGGUUAAUGAGGCGAACCGGGGGAACUGAAACAUCUAAGUACCCCGAGGAAAAGAAAUCAACCGAGAUUCCCCCAGUAGCGGCGAGCGAACGGGGAGGAGCCCAGAGCCUGAAUCAGUGUGUGUGUUAGUGGAAGCGUCUGGAAAGGCGCGCGAUACAGGGUGACAGCCCCGUACACAAAAAUGCACAUGCUGUGAGCUCGAUGAGUAGGGCGGGACACGUGGUAUCCUGUCUGAAUAUGGGGGGACCAUCCUCCAAGGCUAAAUACUCCUGACUGACCGAUAGUGAACCAGUACCGUGAGGGAAAGGCGAAAAGAACCCCGGCGAGGGGAGUGAAAAAGAACCUGAAACCGUGUACGUACAAGCAGUGGGAGCACGCUUAGGCGUGUGACUGCGUACCUUUUGUAUAAUGGGUCAGCGACUUAUAUUCUGUAGCAAGGUUAACCGAAUAGGGGAGCCGAAGGGAAACCGAGUCUUAACUGGGCGUUAAGUUGCAGGGUAUAGACCCGAAACCCGGUGAUCUAGCCAUGGGCAGGUUGAAGGUUGGGUAACACUAACUGGAGGACCGAACCGACUAAUGUUGAAAAAUUAGCGGAUGACUUGUGGCUGGGGGUGAAAGGCCAAUCAAACCGGGAGAUAGCUGGUUCUCCCCGAAAGCUAUUUAGGUAGCGCCUCGUGAAUUCAUCUCCGGGGGUAGAGCACUGUUUCGGCAAGGGGGUCAUCCCGACUUACCAACCCGAUGCAAACUGCGAAUACCGGAGAAUGUUAUCACGGGAGACACACGGCGGGUGCUAACGUCCGUCGUGAAGAGGGAAACAACCCAGACCGCCAGCUAAGGUCCCAAAGUCAUGGUUAAGUGGGAAACGAUGUGGGAAGGCCCAGACAGCCAGGAUGUUGGCUUAGAAGCAGCCAUCAUUUAAAGAAAGCGUAAUAGCUCACUGGUCGAGUCGGCCUGCGCGGAAGAUGUAACGGGGCUAAACCAUGCACCGAAGCUGCGGCAGCGACACUAUGUGUUGUUGGGUAGGGGAGCGUUCUGUAAGCCUGUGAAGGUGUGCUGUGAGGCAUGCUGGAGGUAUCAGAAGUGCGAAUGCUGACAUAAGUAACGAUAAAGCGGGUGAAAAGCCCGCUCGCCGGAAGACCAAGGGUUCCUGUCCAACGUUAAUCGGGGCAGGGUGAGUCGACCCCUAAGGCGAGGCCGAAAGGCGUAGUCGAUGGGAAACAGGUUAAUAUUCCUGUACUUGGUGUUACUGCGAAGGGGGGACGGAGAAGGCUAUGUUGGCCGGGCGACGGUUGUCCCGGUUUAAGCGUGUAGGCUGGUUUUCCAGGCAAAUCCGGAAAAUCAAGGCUGAGGCGUGAUGACGAGGCACUACGGUGCUGAAGCAACAAAUGCCCUGCUUCCAGGAAAAGCCUCUAAGCAUCAGGUAACAUCAAAUCGUACCCCAAACCGACACAGGUGGUCAGGUAGAGAAUACCAAGGCGCUUGAGAGAACUCGGGUGAAGGAACUAGGCAAAAUGGUGCCGUAACUUCGGGAGAAGG
This 1702-nucleotide ribosomal RNA is filed under the name Escherichia coli. Its description in RNAcentral is "partial 23S ribosomal RNA". It matches the Rfam family "Bacterial large subunit ribosomal RNA", at positions 1 to 1746 of the family's 2925-position model. The record is from RNAcentral. Lineage: Bacteria; Pseudomonadati; Pseudomonadota; Gammaproteobacteria; Enterobacterales; Enterobacteriaceae.